CCUACGGGAGGCAGCAGUGAGGAAUAUUGGUCAAUGGGCGUAAGCCUGAACCAGCCAAGUCGCGUGAGGGAUGAAGGUUCUAUGGAUCGUAAACCUCUUUUAUAAGGGAAUAAAGUGCGGGACGUGUCCCGUUUUGUAUGUACCUUAUGAAUAAGGAUCGGCUAACUCCGUGCCAGCAGCCGCGGUAAUACGGAGGAUCCGAGCGUUAUCCGGAUUUAUUGGGUUUAAAGGGUGCGUAGGCGGCCUUUUAAGUAAGCGGUGAAAUUCUGUGGCUCAACCAUAGAAUUGCCGUUAAAACUGGGAGGCUUGAGUAUGUGUGAGGCAGGCGGAAUGCGUGGUGUAGCGGUGAAAUGCUUAGAUAUCACGCAGAACCCCGAUUGCGAAGGCAGCCUGCCAAGCCAUGACUGACGCUGAUGCACGAAAGCGUGGGGAUCAAACAGGAUUAGAUACCCCAGUAGUC
RNAcentral lists this ribosomal RNA (460 nucleotides) under uncultured bacterium. Its description in RNAcentral is "partial 16S ribosomal RNA". It matches the Rfam family "Bacterial small subunit ribosomal RNA", at positions 338 to 795 of the family's 1533-position model. The record is from RNAcentral.